AUUUUAAUAGUUUAUCAAAAAUAUUGAUUUUGUAAUUCAAUGAGAUCUGGCUAGAUUUAAAGUAUCAGUAAAAAUA
RNAcentral lists this transfer RNA (76 nucleotides) under Bemisia tabaci. RNAcentral describes it as "tRNA-Thr". Lineage: Eukaryota; Metazoa; Arthropoda; Insecta; Hemiptera; Aleyrodidae. The record is from RNAcentral.